Molecule: ribosomal RNA, 484 nt
Filed under: uncultured bacterium
Lineage: Bacteria
Description: partial 16S ribosomal RNA
Rfam family: Bacterial small subunit ribosomal RNA
Source: RNAcentral
UGGGGAAUAUUGGACAAUGGGGGCAACCCUGAUCCAGCAAUGCCGCGUGUGUGAAGAAGGUCUUCGGAUUGUAAAGCUCUGUCUUUUGGGACGAUAAUGACGGUACCAAAGGAGGAAGCCACGGCUAACUACGUGCCAGCAGCCGCGGUAAUACGUAGGUGGCGAGCGUUGUCCGGAUUUACUGGGCGUAAAGGGUGCGUAGGCGGAUGUUUAAGUGAGAUGUGAAAUACCCGGGCUUAACUUGGGUGCUGCAUUUCAAACUGGAUAUCUAGAGUGCAGGAGAGGAGAAUGGAAUUCCUAGUGUAGCGGUGAAAUGCGUAGAGAUUAGGAAGAACACCAGUGGCGAAGGCGAUUCUCUGGACUGUAACUGACGCUGAGGCACGAAAGCGUGGGUAGCAAACAGGAUUAGAUACCCUGGUAGUCCACGCCGUAAACGAUGAGUACUAGGUGUAGGAGGUAUCGACCCCUUCUGUGCCGCAGUAAA